UACGGGGGGGGCAAGCGUUGUUCGGAAUUACUGGGCGUAAAGGGCUUGUAGGUGGCCAACUAAGUCAGACGUGAAAUCCCUCAGCUUAACUGGGGAACUGCGUCUGAUACUGGAUGGCUUGGAUUCGGGAGAGGAAUGCGGAAUUCCAGGUGUAGCGGUGAAAUGCGUAGAUAUCUGGAGGAACACCGGUGGCGAAGGCGGCAUUCUGGACCGACAUUGACGCUGAGGAGCGAAAGCCAGGGGAGCAAACGGG
Molecule: ribosomal RNA, 253 nt
Filed under: uncultured bacterium
Lineage: Bacteria
Description: partial 16S ribosomal RNA
Rfam family: Bacterial small subunit ribosomal RNA
Source: RNAcentral